RNAcentral lists this long non-coding RNA (277 nucleotides) under Vigna radiata. RNAcentral describes it as "long non-coding RNA (VRAD_LNC015040)". The record is from RNAcentral. Lineage: Eukaryota; Viridiplantae; Streptophyta; Magnoliopsida; Fabales; Fabaceae.
UCUACAAGUUGCUUUUUAAAUAAUUCUAAUGUUCUCUUCAAAUAAUACUUCUUGCAACAUCAUCAAAACAAUUCUUCAGGUUUUACCAAUACUCCUUAUGGGUAACAAUCUCCCCCUUUUUUAUGAUGAUAAAAAAAUUCACUUUUAAAAGCAACUCUAGUUUACCUGCAACACAUACAAGCUAACAGACAACCACAAAGUUAGCAGUACCUAUACCAAUUUUUCAAUUGUAAUAUAUUUCUCCCCUUAAUUCUCCCCUUAUAUUUCUUCUCCCCCU